Molecule: ribosomal RNA, 428 nt
Filed under: uncultured bacterium
Lineage: Bacteria
Description: bacterial SSU rRNA
Rfam family: Bacterial small subunit ribosomal RNA
Source: RNAcentral
UCGAGAAUUUUUCACAAUGGACGAAAGUCUGAUGGAGCGACGCCGCGUGGAGGAUGAAGGUUUUCGGAUUGUAAACUCCUGUCACUGCAGAACAAGGGUACGUUAGUUAACAGCCAACGUAUUUGAUGGUAUGCGGAGAGGAAGGGACGGCUAACUCUGUGCCAGCAGCCGCGGUAAGACAGAGGUCCCGAGCGUUGUUCGGAUUCAUUAGGCGUAAAGGGUGUGUAGGAGGCCAGGUAAGUCAGGUGUGAAAUCUCAGAGCUUAACUCUGAAACUGCGCUUGAUACUGCUUGGCUAGAGGAUCGGAGGGGGUAACGGAAUUUAUGGUGUAGCAGUGAAAUGCGUAGAUAUCAUAAGGAGCACCGGUGGCGAAGGCGGUUACCUGGAAGAUUCCUGACUCUGAAACACGAAAGCCAGGGGAGCAAACG